GACGAACGCUGGCGGCGUGCCUAAUACAUGCAAGUAGAACGCACAGUUUAUACCGUAGCUUGCUACACCAUAAACUGUGAGUUGCGAACGGGUGAGUAACGCGUAGGUAACCUGCCUGGUAGCGGGGGAUAACUAUUGGAAACGAUAGCUAAUACCGCAUAAUAUUAAUUAUUGCAUGAUAAUUGAUUGAAAGAUGCAAUUGCAUCACUACCAGAUGGACCUGCGUUGUAUUAGCUAGUAGGUGAGGUAACGGCUCACCUAGGCGACGAUACAUAGCCGACCUGAGGGGGUGAUCGGCCACACUGGGACUGAGACACGGCCCAGACUCCUACGGGAGGCAGCAGUAGGGAAUCUUCGGCAAUGGACGAAAGUCUGACCGAGCAACGCCGCGUGAGUGAAGAAGGUUUUCGGAUCGUAAAGCUCUGUUGUAAGAGAAGAACGGGUGUGAGAGUGGAAAGUUCACACUGUGACGGUAUCUUACCAGAAAGGGACGGCUAACUACGUG
RNAcentral lists this ribosomal RNA (505 nucleotides) under uncultured bacterium. Its description in RNAcentral is "partial 16S ribosomal RNA". It matches the Rfam family "Bacterial small subunit ribosomal RNA", at positions 28 to 507 of the family's 1533-position model. The record is from RNAcentral.